Long non-coding RNA from Astatotilapia calliptera (eastern happy), 7008 nucleotides. The record is from Ensembl. Lineage: Eukaryota; Metazoa; Chordata; Actinopteri; Cichliformes; Cichlidae.
CGCCCAGUUGUUGUGGGAGGAGGAAGACAGGACAAAAGGCACGCUGUGGACGAGAGCCAGAGAUACUAACAAUAGUUUAUAGAAAGCAGUUGAUAGAAAUUGAACGAUCCAACUUAUUCCUCAUGUCCAAACAUUUAAAGACAGCAUAGAGGAAAACAAAACUCCAACUGAGGGGAAUGAAAGUGAGAAAGAAAAGCAUUUUCUGUCCACCUUAGUAUUAAACUUAAAUGUGCUUCUUUUUCUUUUUCCUCUUCUUUUUGCUUGUCCCUUUAGGGGUCACCACAGCAUAGCAUCCGUCUCAAACUUGCUCUGUUCUUAACUUCUUCCUUCUCUGUCACACCAACACUCUGCACGUCCUUACUCUUGAUAUUUUAGCAGGUUUGAAUUGGCUAAGAUUUUAUGUCAGAUGCUCUUUCUCAUACAACUUAAGUGGGGACAGGACAUGAAGGUAACUGGGUUUUGAAAGAAGUCCUGUUACGUUCAACUAAACUACUUAAAGACUACAAGAACCCACUUGAAAAAGGUAAGUGUCAACAUAUCAAUAGUUAGCAAACUCAUCCAUUACCUGGUCUAAAGCUGAGUUUAAACAGAAUAAAAGAAAUAAAAUGUGCUUAAAUAUGAUAAAAAAAAGAAGGAGGCAUUCAAAUCUAAAAUGAAAGGUAAAGCGUCACUUUCAAACAAACGAUCUGCUCAUCUGUUUUUUCAAAUAAAGAGUUAGAAUAGUUACUCUGGCUAUUUAUUCCUCAUGAGGUGUCGCAGUUUAUAUGGAAAAUGAUUAGGCUUUAAGGCUUUGACGUGUAAAUGUUAGUCAGUUUUAGCUGCCUGCUAGAGAACAGAGUGUGGGGGAAACAGGAAGACAGGAAGAUAUAACCAGGUAAGGAAACAAUGACACAGAAUCAGUAGCGUGAGUAAAACGACACACACACACACAGAGAGAGAGAGAGAGUAGAAAGAGUGAGGCACAUCUUGAGGAAGUUAGCAAAACAACAGAAGUAGAACAAAAGGCACAUCAUACUGAAGUGGUGUUUGUAGACGAUUGGCAGCUUUACAUCUGUCCACAGAAUGGGAUUGGUGCAAUACUCUGUGGCCCUCCUGAUGUUAUCCACACAGUUGGUGCUCAGCUUUCCCACACCACAGAACACCUACAACAUUGGUGGGAGAGAGUGUAAAUAUUGUCCUGCAGGUAUGUAUCAGAGUGAUUGUACAACAUGUGAACACUGUCCUGCUGGAAGUUACACAACUGACUUGAACUAUGAAGAUGAAUGCCAUCGCUGCUUUGGAGACUGCAACCCUAAGUUUCAUCUUAAAGUGGUUCAGAACUGCACCAGUACGUCUGAUAUGAAAUGUGACUGCGAGGAUGGUUUUAGAUGCAUCAGGUGGGCCCAUGACAAAAAGAACUGCUUGUCUUGUGAGAAGAUGCCAGACCCAACCCCAACCAAAGCAGCAGCUACAGAGAUCUCAGUCAGAGAUAAACACACGCCUUUCUCAGUUUCCUCCGGACAUACCAGCACUUCUCCCAAACCCUGCCAAUCUCCAGGGUGUCACCCAACGAAAGAGCCGAAUCCCACGGGAGGUCAUGCCAACCAUUACCUGGCAGCUAUUUUCAUUCCAGUGGGUGUCCUUGCAACUUUGGCCCUUCUCACCUUGUUCUGUGUCUGUCGUCCAAGAGAUGAGACAUAUAUAAGGCAAACUAUUGCAAAGCUCUGGAAUGAGGAAGGGCGAGGUGCUUCUCACAAGUCAAGGGAGCCAACUCAUCAGUUCCCCAGAGACUCAUUCAGUACAAAGCAGCAGCCCUCAACACCUUCAGCAGCCAAUCUUGGUCCAGUCCAUGUGCACAAUCCAGGCACAGUCAUCUUUAGCUUGCUCAGUCAAUUUACGGGUCAAGUCGGGCCAACGACCGAAUGUGGGAAGACGGCUGAGAGAGCGAGGAGAGAGGAAGAGGAUGAGAGAAACUGUCCAGUGUUUCAUCCUGCAUCUUCUCCCAGCAUUCAUCUCUCUGAGGAGGAGAGGAGUGGAGAGAAUGACACCAUUUUCUUCCCUUCCCAGGAGCAGGGGAAAGACUCCCACAUGUCGAAAGAGGAGAUCCUAUGAUGCAUCUCAAAAAAUUCAGAAGACUUGGAUACAACAAACUUUGAAACCACAGAUGAGUAUGGAUCAUAUUCGUCUUUCCUCAGCAAGCUGCGGAUGCACUGACUUUGUUUCUGCAGCUUCUGGAAAACACUCACCUCAGAAAUGUAUUAAAUCUCGGAAGAACAGCUGCAAAGUGGUCUUCUUUGUAAGUUAUGAUUUACGAACUCUUGUAUAUACUUUUAAUAAGCUUCUUUGGCUCAGUGCAAAGAAUGCCAUCCAAGGUGUAGAAAGCUUUGUUAGGUAGUUAUUAGGUAGUUUUAGUCAAAUUUAUUAAGUUUAUUUUAAAUGAAAAAGAAAUAGAAGAAAAAAUGUACACAGAACAUCCACAUGUGAUAUUGAAAAGCUGGCUACAAAAGCAGCUAAUUAUGUCUGCACAUAUAUGUAGAUAUACAUGAAAUAUGUUUAACUUUAUGUACUAUAGUACAUACUUUCCUUUCACUGCCACAAUGUCCCCUCUGUCUUAUCAGUUCCAAGAUUUUUACCCACCACAAUUUUAUACACUUCAAAGUCACAGAUGCCAAAAUGAUCAUCUGUCCUCUCAGGAAACAGCAACAGUUUCAAACUUUCCACCUUCUGGCAUUUCACUGAUCAGCACGGCGCGGAGUGCCUUUUAGCUCCAUUUAAAUGUCCAAAAGCAGUGACGAAUGUUUUCCAUCUGGGAUGUGCCACCGAGUGUCUUGUUAGGUUCUCGCUCCUCCAAAUUCCAGAUCUGGUCUUUAACACAUAGGUUGGUCACAUUUCCCGCACACUUCCUGGACGGGCUUGGACACUUCUUCAUCACAUGCAGGUUGUGUGGCAGGUUUUUCAGCCAAGAAGUACCCUAAGCAGCAAGAAAUGACGGGAUGGUUUUAAUAAGAAUUUAAACAUUUGGGGGUAUUUAUAACACAAAAGUUCUAAGAAAAAUAUUAAGUGAUUUAAAAGAAAUCUACUAACCGUGAGUGAACCUAAUCCAGACUAAAAAUGGCUUGAUUUUUGUCACAACAACCAGUGCAAUUCCUGUACACAGGAGGGCAAUUAUCACCAGGAACCACACCGUAUCUAUAAUAACACAUGAGAGAGUUAGUUUCCAUAAUUUACAUCAGUUCAAUAAUUUCACAGGCAACACAAUUUGGCUACUUUACCUGCAAUCGGUUUAGUGGCGAGCCUGGUGGUGGUAACAUCAGGUGUCGCCACUAGAGGGAAACAUAAAAAAAAGAGAACCUUAUAAGUUCACUGCAGGCAUUAUUAGUUCGAUGACAAGAUGACACUAUUGUGGCUUGGAUUUGUCAGUGAGCUCACUCUUUUGUCCCUAAUGUUUAACUUAUUUCAUCAUGUGUUUGUGUGUGUGUGUGUGUGUUUGAAUGUGUGUGUCCUUUCUCCACGGUUACUACAGAAGAGGCAAACAGUUACAAGAACAUGCAAAUAGCUUCCAAGCAUUAUUAACAGCUCAUUUGUUUGGAUUAUUUUUAGUCAUGUAACAGUUUCAGCUGAAUCAGAAACAUUUUAGGGAUUCUGACUAUGACCUGUCCACAUUACUGUAUGUAGGCAGGAUUACAGUACAGGAAAACACAUGCUACAACUAGGGCCUCUACAGUGACAUUUAAAAAAAGAGACACAACAGACUGUUUUGCUCACCUGCCCUCGUACAGAGCCCAGAGUGAUAAUAACACAGGACACGACAUUAAGACUUUGAAUCAGUUAACAGAUUCAUGUACUACACCCCUAAAUCUGCCUGUCUUCUAGAACUUGUUAUCAUGGAUUGCUACACUGUUACUGAGUUAUGUUGUAGGGGGGAUGGAGGCAUGAAAGGAAAUUUCCUUUAAGCACUGCGCAGAGCUUUGCCAGGAGGCUGUUGAGGUAGACAAGAGAAGUGCACAAUUCUCACAUUCUCACCUGUGUCUGUGCUCUCCUCUGUGGUUAGGUUUAGGCAACUCAAGCACUUCACAUGAAGUUAGUAAAUUCCCUAACCUUUGUGAAGUGCUGAUGGUGCCAAAACGUAACCAUAAUUAAAAAAAAUCUGUUUAAGCUGUAAGUUGUAAACAACAUUUCUUCAUUGUGUUUCAUGAAAAAUGCGAUCCGAUAACAAAUAUUUUAUUUUUUAAUUUGUUGUUGUUUUAAACACUUUUAAACACUGAUGUUAUCACCUCAGAGUGCAUACUUGUCCCUCGCAGACACAGUGGGUUUAAGGUGGAUGACAUCAGCGUUAAAGGCAUCUAAACUCAUUACUGGCAGACUGAAAGAUGCUAAAAGGCCACAUAGAGCUGACUGACCUCUGUAGGGUUGUGGGUGAUGACUAUCUAUGAUUGGGUUUCUCUAAGCAAGUCUUGACGUUAGUGCUGCUUUACAAUAUCCUGAUGGUACUUUUGUGUUGAUAUCUUCUUUUCUUUGGGUUAAAAUAUGCACUCAAAAAAUUAGUCUUUGCCCUCAUAAACACAAAAUGAAACUGAAGUAUAUCAAAUCAAAGGUUUAUUCAUUUAAUUCAUUAAUCGUGAUUUUUUUUUAGGGAGCUCAAUGUAAGUUUCAUUUGGCCAGAUUCCAUUAAUUUGAACAUUUUACGUUGUACUUACGUAACUGAAUUUUUUCAUGUAAUCAGAUUACUUAAAUGCCACCACUUUGGGCAUGAAUAUUUUUUGAGUGUGAAUGUUUCCUUGUUUGUAGGUACCCCACUGGAUCCAGACAAACACGCUAGUAAAUGCUCUUGUGCAUACAUGUAAAUAAACAGUUUCUUUUAACAAACUUAUUACUCUGAGCUACUUUCAGUCUUGUUUUCAUAAAAUAAGGCAUUUGAACUCAUGGGUUCUCAGGAGUAUUUUUAAAUAAAAAAGAAGUUAUAUUCCCAGAUGUAGUUAAAUGAGUAACUUCUCAUGAAAAAUGAGCAUUUGCUGCCCUUUUGUGGUUCAGCCUGUACACUCAGACAAGUUUGACGCCUAAAUCAUUUUGGUGUAAAAGAUGAGUAUAUCUGUUAUGUUAUUGCUUUUCAUGGUAGUGUUAAAUUAGUCUCCGAUCUUAUGUCUUUGGGCAACGCAUCUACAAUGUUAUUUUUUGUGCUUUUACACUGAUAAUCUGUAGCAAAUUGUUAAUGAAAGAAUGCAAAACGACAAAGCUCCUUAAUGAGAAUGUGAUGCUGCACGUGGCCCUCAAGUGUGUUAUGGUUGAAACUAUUCAAAACAAAACACUGCAAUGAAUAAAUGAUAACCACUGUGUCAACAAUUGUUUCACAUUUAGUUGACUGUGCCGAGAAGGGCUCACUUACCAGUAGUAGAUGGAGGGACGGUGGGUUUGAUUGUGGAUACACACUCUUUACAGUCUUGGUCUUUGCACUUGUAGCCAGCCUUACAUGGGCACACAUUGUUAUGAGUCGGGUUGCAGUCUGUCUUGACCUCCACUUUUGCUGUGGAAAAACACGGUCAUUGUUAAAAGUGAUUUAAAGACGGAUAAAGUUGAAAGUGUGUGCAAAGGAUGUCUUUGUGAUAAAACUGAAAAUGUGAAAUGACUCACAAAGCUAGGCACGACAGGUAAAGAUUCUGGUUUGAAGUCAUAAGACCGUUAUAUUAUCACGUCUGGUGCUUCUUCUUUAGAGAAUUUUAAACACUUUUUAAACACUGAUGUUAUCACCUCAGAGUGCAUACUUGUCCCUCGCAGACACAGUGGGUUUAAGGUGGAUGACAUCAGCGUUAAGUGCAUCUAAACUCAUUACUGGCAGACUUUAAAAACUAGAAACAACGAGCUGAAAGAUGCUAAAAGGCCACAUAGAGCUGACUGACCUCUGUAGGGUUGUGGGUGAUGACUAUCUAUGAUUGGGUUUCUCUAAGCAAGUCUUGACGUUAGUGCUGCUUUACAAUAUCCUGAUGGUACUUUUGUGUUGAUAUCUUCUUUUCUUUGGGUUAAAAUAUGCACUCAAAAAAUUAGUCUUUGCCCUCAUAAACACAAAAUGAAACUGAAGUAUAUCAAAUCAAAGGUUUAUUCAUUUAAUUCAUUAAUUGUGAUUUAUUUUUUUUUGGGAGCUCAAUGUAAGUUUCAUUUGGCCAGAUUCCAUUAAUUUGAACAUUUUACGUUGUACUUACGUAACUGAAUUUUUUCAUGUAAUCAGAUUACUUAACGCCACCACUUUGGGCAUGAAUAUUUUUUGAGUGUGAAUGUUUCCUUGUUUGUAGGUACCCCACUGGAUCCAGACAAACACGCUAGUAAAUGCUCUUGUGCAUACAUGUAAAUAAACAGUUUCUUUUAACAAACUUAUUACUCUGAGCUACUUUCAGUCUUGUUUUCAUAAAAUAAGGCAUUUGAACUCAUGGGUUCUCAGGAGUAUUUUUAAAUAAAAAGAAGUUAUAUUCCCAGAUGUAGUUAAAUGAGUAACUUCUCAUGAAAAAUGAGCAUUUGCUGCCCUUUUGUGGUUCAGCCUGUACACUCAGACAAGUUUGACGCCUAAAUCAUUUUGGUGUAAAAGAUGAGUAUAUCUGUUAUGUUAUUGCUUUUCAUGGUAGUGUUAAAUUAGUCUCUGAUCUUAUGUCUUUGGGCAACGCAUCUACAAUGUUAUUUUUUGUGCUUUUACACUGAUAAUCUGUAGCAAAUUGUUAAUGAAAGAAUGCAAAACGACAAAGCUCCUUAAUGAGAAUGUGAUGCUGCACGUGGCCCUCAAGUGUGUUAUGGUUGAAACUAUUCAAAACAAAACACUGCAAUGAAUAAAUGAUAACCACUGUGUCAACAAUUGUUUCACAUUUAGUUGACUGUGCCGAGAAGGGCUCACUUACCAGUAGUAGAUGGAGGGACGGUGGGUUUGAUUGUGGAUACACACUCUUUACAGUCUUGGUCUUUGCACUUGUAGCCAGCCUUACAUGUGCACACAGUGUUAUGAGUCGCGCUGCAUUCUGUCUUGACCUCCAUGUUUGCUGUGGAAAAACA